Molecule: ribosomal RNA, 253 nt
Filed under: uncultured bacterium
Lineage: Bacteria
Description: partial 16S ribosomal RNA
Rfam family: Bacterial small subunit ribosomal RNA
Source: RNAcentral
UACGAAGGGGGCUAGCGUUGUUCGGAAUUACUGGGCGUAAAGCGUGCGUAGGCGGGUCUUUAAGUCAGGGGUGAAAUCCUGGAGCUCAACUCCAGAACUGCCUUUGAUACUGAGGAUCUUGAGUUCGGGAGAGGUGAGUGGAACUGCGAGUGUAGAGGUGAAAUUCGUAGAUAUUCGCAAGAACACCAGUGGCGAAGGCGGCUCACUGGCCCGAUACUGACGCUGAGGCACGAAAGCGUGGGGAGCAAACAGG